This 269-nucleotide unclassified non-coding RNA is filed under the name plant metagenome. RNAcentral's name for it is "partial contains small subunit ribosomal RNA, internal transcribed spacer 1, and 5.8S ribosomal RNA". The record is from RNAcentral.
UUUCCGUAGGUGAACCUGCGGAAGGAUCAUUAAUGAGUUGUCAUGGGGUUCGAUGCUGGCAGCCAAUUUUUGGAUGCAUGUGCUUGCCCUAACAAUCAUCUUCCAAACACCUGUGCACAUUUUUGAGGGAGUCUUGAGUUGGUUGCCGCUCUUGGGUGUUUUUCUCACAUUCCCUUAAAUCAUUAUACGCUAUUAACAAUGUUGAACGUGCUCUGUGCCGCAAGGCUAUUAAUAUAAUACAACUUUUAACAACGGAUCUCUUGGCUCUC